ACGCGCGGCGGGGCGGGGCCAGCCGGGGCGGGGGCAGCGGCGGCAGAGGAGGCCGGAAGCGGUCGGGCGGCGCGGCGAUGGAGUCGGGCGCAUCGGCGAUGGAUGAGCCCUCUGAGUCCGGCGCCUCAGCGUCGGGCGGCUCGGCGUCGGGCGGCUCGGCGGACAACGCGCCCAUCAAGGGCAUCCUCAAAAAGAACGGCGGCAAAGCACCGGUGGAUGGAGCGGCCCCCGGGGCGCGGCGGGUCACGUCGGCCCGCGACGAAGAUGAGCACGGUAAAAAAUCUCAGAAGUGGGAUGAAAUGAACAUCAUAGCUACGUACCACCCAGCAGGGAAAGAUUAUGGCUUGAUGAAAAUAGAUGAGCCAGCUACUCCUUAUCACAGCAUGGUAGGAGAAGAUGACGAGGAUGCAGUGAGUGAUACAGAAGCAAAUGAGCCCGUAAGAGCAGAUGUGUUGAGUAAAAAACUGGCAGCUGCAGCUGAAGGUAAAGGACCCAAGAUUAUGGCAAAGCAAGAGGAAAGCAGUGAGGAGGAGGAAGAAGAUGAAGAAUUAACACCUGAAGAACGAGAAAAAAAGAAACAGUUUGAAAUGAAGAGAAAAAUGCACUACAAUGAAGGACGAAACAUCAAACUGGCAAGACAGCUCAUUGCAAAAGAACUACAUGGUGAAGAGGAUGAUGAUGAUGAGGAUGAAGAGAUGCACAAUGCUGCAGAUGUAGAAACAAUGAAUACAGAAGUUGCCGACCAUGGGGAAAGGAGGGCUCCAAUAGGCAACUUUAUGACCUUUCUCCGUGGCUUGAAGCUGCCAUCCUUCUGCACUCUGCUGUAAAACAGAGGCAACUCCGCUCGCCAGCUGCAUUCACCAGUGGAAAGAAGGCCCACCUUUGCAGCAUUUUUCCAUCUCUAUUGUUGAAGUCCAUUCCACCUUCCUUCAUAACCAGCUUCAGAGCCACCACUGACUGAGAUUUCUUGCUGAUUGAAAUGAAGAUGGCCAGUCCAGUCAGUAAUGCACAUGCUACUUGUGACCAGCUGGGAAGUAGAGUACGCAGCAUAGAAGAAAUCUGUCCAGAACUGUAACUGCUUGUCAAGGACACAAAUAUAAACACCGCUUCACAAUUUUUGCUAUUAAGGCUCUUAAAUAUUGAGAAGCAUAUCAGUUACCAUGUUGUAUUGCCAAGAAUGUUUAUUUUAGACUUGUCUGUUAGGCAGGAAAAAACCUGUCUAAUUGAUUUUCUUGUGCCUAGUAUUUCAUGGAGAAUACUGCUUCAUAAUCUGUUCAACCAGAAUGGCGUUCCCUCUAUGUAUAACGCUGAUUAUCUUGCGUAAUGUACUGUUAACUCUUCACGCUUUGAAACAGUAUCUUUUGGGUUUUCACUAUUUAUUUGGCAGUGUUCUAGGUGUGGUGUCUCUUAUAGAAAGGUUUUGGAUUCAAGAGCUAAACGGUACAGCAUAUAUCAGAUUAACAUGCAAGCUAUUUAUCAGAUGUGUUAUGCGGUUUAAAAAGGGAUUAUUUAAGUCUUACAACUUUUUUGUAAAGUGUGGACCUGUUAAUUUAGAUUUCAGUAUGUUAUUACCUGUGCUUUCCCCAUCUUUAGAAGAACUGUAUUAUUUUUUGAGUGGUGUUUGGAAUCAGUUGUUAUUUUCUGACUAAGGCAGUACUAACAUCUGGUGGAGGGAAUGUUUUUACACUGGAAAUGUGCUAACUUGAACUUUGCAUUUAACUGUCAUUAUCUCUUCCAUCGGGACUGGAUGUUCUGUGGAGCUCUCCUUGGCUUAUCAUGAGAAUGUGGAUGUUCCCUCCAGUUUUUCUCUUAAAACCACGUGUACUGUCACUCUUCUGGCUCUUGUUUCAAACUUUUGGUCCUUUCAAGUUGCAUGAAGAGUGCUUGUGCUACUAGCAUCUGAGGAGAAAACACCCAAUUAUGAGCAAAACCACAUCAGGACUGUGAAGAUGAGCUGAGUUUAGGCUCUGGUUGUUCUUUACACAAAGAUAACUGCCUCUGAUCUCAUCUGGGGUUGGCAACCUGCAUAUUGAAAACUGCUGGUCUAAAUCUUCCUAUAUCCAUUGCAACUGACAGCAGCUGGUUUUGUAAAGUGAAGGCUCUUUGGAAAAAUAGAAGCGAAACUCCUUAACUCAAAUACUUGCCUACAGUAUGGUUGUACAGUCCCUGUAAAGAGGGAUUCUGAACCUGCAAAUUGCUGUAAACAACUUUCCACUUGGUGAAAUCUGACUGGUGAAUGUUCCAGUAUUCAGAGUAGUUUCUGGGAUUUAUUACACAAAUGAAGUAUACACUUAAGCUUUAGCUUGAUUAUGGAAUAUAGUGUAUAUCUUAAUUUUGAUCUGAAUUUGAUAUGUUGCAAAAAUCCAUAUAAUCAUAUGGAUCUGUUUUAAAAUGUCUUUUUGUCCACUGUACAUGUGAAGUUUGAAUAAAGGAAUGAAAGUUAUUUUACAGUUA
Strigops habroptila (Kakapo) is the source of this 2454-nucleotide RNA transcript. It is a transcript of the gene named protein phosphatase 1 regulatory inhibitor subunit 2, with no coding region annotated. The record is from RefSeq and is a predicted model, not a curated record. The transcript has 8 exons. Lineage: Eukaryota; Metazoa; Chordata; Aves; Psittaciformes; Psittacidae.